GAAAAAGUUCUGUUGGCCUUAGUAGCACUUCUCCAUAUUUCAGUCUCAGUUUUGUACUAAAGCAAUGGUUAAUACUUCUGCAGACCUUUAGAUUUAUCAUACAUCCAGAAAAUACGUCAUGUAACAUGCACAUUUGCUUGUGUGUUCAUACACCAGUUGGUCUUGGAUGGAUAUUAUGCCAUUAGAUUUUGGCUGUGCUCCAGCAUGCUAUACUGCUAUAAGGGUCGGUUUUGUUCCAGUUUUGUUCCAUUUCUCAUCGAACUGCCAUUGAUUUUUGCCAAGCCAUGCAUGCUUGUGCGUUUGUGCUCUCAAAACCUGCCCGAGCGGAUGAAGAUGGAUGAGGUGUAUGCGUUUGCGUGUGUGUAUGGAGCUGUAUGUAUAAUGUUUGAGGGGGGGCUUUUGCCGGCAGCGUUUUCUGCUCGUACUCCUCCAAUCCCAACCUCAGCCAUUCACAUCUGGUUGCUAGGCAACAGAUGCAGCCCCGUUUUCUGUGGGUUCGUUAGCAGAUUCUGAGCAAGCGUCUGCGAGGACAAAGCCUCUCUGUGGUCUGCUGAUGUUAGCAUCAGAGCAGUCGUUACAGCUCUCUGGAAGCCACCGAAGAACUGCACGCUGGUGAACAUCAGGAGGAAAAUAUCUUUCCCAGAACCAGUUUCUUGGCUGUAGCCGACAUCAGCCAGGCACGGAUCAUCGCCAGCUCCUAAAAUGUCAUUCCUCUAAGUCUCCAGUGCCUCAGCUUUGGCUCGAUCAGUUCUGAUGGAACCAUAAACUUCAAACGGGCUCAGCGCCCGACUGGCAGGAUGCAUUUCUCUCUCUUUUUCCUCUGGCGGCCAGCCACUGGAAAUGAGCUAAUUGCUCCUUACACAGACCUCCCUGAGUCCUGGCCAAAGGAAUCUGAACAUUAUCCAAACCAAUGACCGAAAUGUUGAAAGCUGGCUCGCGGAUCCAGCAAUGGAAUUAUACAAGACAAACACCCCCCUUUCUCUCCAGCCUCCCUUUCUGUUAAGACUGUAAUGACCGCUGUGAAACUGCACACAGACUAACAUAUGUUUGCCAUUACCGCACAGUACACGGUGUGCGCUUUUAUUUGCUGUCAUUGGUGUUGAAAAUGCAAUGUCUGAUCCAGUAAGCUGUCAGGGAUAUUUUUGUUGUAAUGGAUUGUCAGUAAGUCUCUCAGAAAGCCAUAUGUUUUAGUAUAUAUAUCAUAAAACCGCUGAGACUCUGAAUUCAGGAAACAAACAGUGGACUUCCAGACUCUCCUAUAGAGCUCAACUGGCAGCCGUCUCCUCCAGCUGCUCGAUAUCACGGCCUGGCGUUUCCUCCACAGCCUUCCCAGUGCACCCCUCUGACCGAGCCCAUCCUUAGCACCCUCCGGCAGAGAGAAACCCUGGAGAACAGGCUGGUAGAUUGGGUGGAGCAACAGCUCAUGGCCAGAAUGAUCACUGGAAUAUUCCCUCAGCCCGUCCAGACUGAUCUAGCCAGCCAAUCAGAGACAGAGAAUAGUGUGACAUCAGGUAUAGGUGAGAAUGGGUUCUUUUUAAUGUUUAUAAUUGUGACUUUAGGCCUCACAAUGAGACUUUGUCUUAUUUUAAACUCUGUGUAUUUGGCGUUAAACAUAUUUUAAAUCUCCCUGUUUAGUAGCUAUGAAGUUUGUCUGUCUGCGGUUCAACCAUCAUACAUCAUCACCAAUUUACAAGUGUGUCUGGUCAAUGUUCAAAAUCAAAUAACGCAUGACAUGAACCAGCAAGAAUGGUCGAGCUGCACCAGGUUCCAAUCUAUAAGCUCAUCAUUUUGAUUCAUAGUUUUUAUGAAUGAGAGCAGUGCAUUUGUCAAGAGUGUCAGCACGCAUCAAGAUUGUAUUUCCUCAUUAAAACACGAUUGUUUGUGCUCAUCCCCUCUACUCCUCCUCUGCUCGAUCCUUCCAUCUCCGUCGCGUCACUUCUGCUCAGUCGGCGAGGAGGUCCUGCCUCAUUGAUUCUCGCUUUCAUUUAAUAGAAAGAUCAAUGAUGUAUCAAAUUUGCAGAGGAGGCUCGCAGCAAACUGUUGUCAGCAUAUUCGCAGACUGACUGGACUCUUCCUCCUGUAGAGGAACUGUAUAUGCGUUUAAACGCAAACAAAAGGAAAUGAGGCCCCUGCCAAGAAUGUCAGUUCUGUAUAUUAGUUUUUUAAUACCACCGGUCCAAAAUGCUUACGGGUGCAAGAAUUCAGAGUAGGCUGGAUGAGAGGUAAAGCGGAUCUCAAAUUGGUUAUUUAAAAUUACUUUGCUGGCAAACUCAACUUGCCAGAAGGGCAUCAUGGGAAAACUUCUGAAUGUUGUGGGAAUGCCAGAUGUGCAGGUAUUAAUUGCAUGCGUUGUUAUUUUUUGGAUGCACAAUAAGAGUUUGAGCUCUUUAAAUGGAUGUGAAUUUUGAUAUUAAAUAAUACCAAUGACCUUGUUGAAAGUGGUGAUAGGUCAGACCUGUGGCCUAGCGGUUUUAGAUCCAGGUUUGAAUCCAGGGAUGUGUGUCCUUAUCCCAUUGUUUAAAACACAUUGCAUUUCUUUGUAA
This is a long non-coding RNA of Carassius carassius (crucian carp), 2543 nucleotides long. RefSeq lists it as uncharacterized. The record is from RefSeq and is a predicted model, not a curated record. The transcript has 4 exons. NCBI's taxonomy places the organism in Eukaryota, Metazoa, Chordata, Actinopteri, Cypriniformes, Cyprinidae.